GAGGACAUAGAUCUUC
This 16-nucleotide unclassified non-coding RNA is filed under the name synthetic construct. The record is from RNAcentral.